This 481-nucleotide ribosomal RNA is filed under the name uncultured bacterium. RNAcentral describes it as "bacterial SSU rRNA". It matches the Rfam family "Bacterial small subunit ribosomal RNA", at positions 28 to 507 of the family's 1533-position model. The record is from RNAcentral.
GAUGAACGCUAGCUACAGGCUUAACACAUGCAAGUCGAGGGGUAGCAGGGUAGCAAUACCGCUGACGACCGGCGCACGGGUGAGUAACACGUAUCCAACCUUCCCAUAACUCUGGGACAGCCUUUCGAAAGAAAGAUUAAUACCGGAUGGUACUUUUCAAGGCAUCUUGAGAAAGUUAAAGAUUUAUUGGUUAUGGAUGGGGAUGCGUUCCAUUAGAUAGUUGGUGAGGUAACGGCUCACCAAGUCUUCGAUGGAUAGGGGUUCUGAGAGGAAGGUCCCCCACAUUGGCACUGAGACACGGACCAAACUCCUACGGGAGGCAGCAGUGAGGAAUAUUGGUCAAUGGGCGAGAGCCUGAACCAGCCAAGUAGCGUGAAGGAUGAAGGUCCUAUGGAUUGUAAACUUCUUUUAUAGUAGAAUAAAGUGACCCACGUGUGGGUUUUUGUAUGUAUACUAUGAAUAAGGAUCGGCUAACUCCGUG